UUUCCGUAGGUGAACCAGCGGAAGGAUCAUUACAAAAUGUUAUGGGAUGUCCUAACGGGCACCCAAGCAAACACAUCCAGAUUAAACUUUUGAAACAAUUACUAGUCUGAUAAGGCCAUAUGCUGUAAAGAUUUAAAUAUAUUAAAACUUUCAACAACGGAUCUCUUGGCUCUC
Molecule: unclassified non-coding RNA, 174 nt
Filed under: plant metagenome
Description: partial contains small subunit ribosomal RNA, internal transcribed spacer 1, and 5.8S ribosomal RNA
Source: RNAcentral